UGUGCAGAGUGCUUCACCCUGGAGCUUUUGACUGAAAUGGAGGAUGAAGGGAAUCUGGUGGGUACCAAGGACAAACUCUUUAAGGCUUCCCAACAAAUCUGAAUCUAUGUUGAAGAUCAAAAUGAAGAUAUGCAGUUGUACAGGAGAUACUUGUGGGCUACUUGCAUUUUUGUUCAGUCUUGAAUACUGUUCUUUAUCUGUACAGUAACUUACUUUGAAGUACGUGCUCAAAAACAAAUGCUUAUUGUGAUUAAAGAGGAAAUGAUGCUGAAAAUCUCUUUUGUUUAAAAACAAAAA
RNAcentral lists this long non-coding RNA (297 nucleotides) under Anas platyrhynchos platyrhynchos (common mallard). RNAcentral describes it as "lncRNA (ENSAPLG00000027922.1)". The record is from RNAcentral. Lineage: Eukaryota; Metazoa; Chordata; Aves; Anseriformes; Anatidae.